Molecule: ribosomal RNA, 1155 nt
Filed under: Vibrio parahaemolyticus
Lineage: Bacteria; Pseudomonadati; Pseudomonadota; Gammaproteobacteria; Vibrionales; Vibrionaceae
Description: partial 23S ribosomal RNA
Rfam family: Bacterial large subunit ribosomal RNA
Source: RNAcentral
CGCAGAUACCAGGUGGCUGCAACUGUUUAUUAAAAACACAGCACUGUGCAAAAUCGUAAGAUGACGUAUACGGUGUGACGCCUGCCCGGUGCCGGAAGGUUAAUUGAUGGGGUUAGACUUCGGUCGAAGCUCUUGAUCGAAGCCCCGGUAAACGGCGGCCGUAACUAUAACGGUCCUAAGGUAGCGAAAUUCCUUGUCGGGUAAGUUCCGACCUGCACGAAUGGCGUAAUGAUGGCCACGCUGUCUCCACCCGAGACUCAGUGAAAUUGAAAUCGCUGUGAAGAUGCAGUGUACCCGCGGCUAGACGGAAAGACCCCGUGAACCUUUACUACAGCUUGGCACUGAACAUUGACCCUACAUGUGUAGGAUAGGUGGGAGGCUUUGAAGCACGUACGCCAGUAUGUGUGGAGCCGUCCUUGAAAUACCACCCUUGUAGUGUUGAUGUUCUAACGUCGACCCCUAAUCGGGGUUGCGGACAGUGCCUGGUGGGUAGUUUGACUGGGGCGGUCUCCUCCCAAAGAGUAACGGAGGAGCACGAAGGUGGGCUAAUCACGGUUGGACAUCGUGAGGUUAGUGCAAUGGCAUAAGCCCGCUUGACUGCGAGAAUGACAAUUCGAGCAGGUGCGAAAGCAGGUCAUAGUGAUCCGGUGGUUCUGAAUGGAAGGGCCAUCGCUCAACGGAUAAAAGGUACUCCGGGGAUAACAGGCUGAUACCGCCCAAGAGUUCAUAUCGACGGCGGUGUUUGGCACCUCGAUGUCGGCUCAUCACAUCCUGGGGCUGAAGUCGGUCCCAAGGGUAUGGCUGUUCGCCAUUUAAAGUGGUACGCGAGCUGGGUUUAGAACGUCGUGAGACAGUUCGGUCCCUAUCUGCCGUGGGCGUUGGAAGAUUGAAGGGGGCUGCUCCUAGUACGAGAGGACCGGAGUGGACGAACCUCUGGUGUUCGGGUUGUGUCGCCAGACGCAUUGCCCGGUAGCUAAGUUCGGAAUCGAUAACCGCUGAAAGCAUCUAAGCGGGAAGCGAGCCCUGAGAUGAGUCUUCCCUGAUACUUUAAGUAUCCUAAAGGGUUGUCGGAGACUACGACGUUGAUAGGUCAGGUGUGUAAGUGCUGUGAGGCAUUGAGCUAACUGAUACUAAUUGCCCGUGAGGCUUAACCAU